This 468-nucleotide ribosomal RNA is filed under the name uncultured bacterium. RNAcentral's name for it is "partial 16S ribosomal RNA". It matches the Rfam family "Bacterial small subunit ribosomal RNA", at positions 28 to 507 of the family's 1533-position model. The record is from RNAcentral.
GACGAACGCUGGCGGCGUGCUUAACACAUGCAAGUCGAACGGUGAAGCUCCAGCUUGCUGGAGUGGAUCAGUGGCGAACGGGUGAGUAACACGUGAGCAACCUGCCCCAGACUCUGGUAUAAGCUCUGGAAACGGCGUCUAAUACUGGAUACGAUAUCACGCCGCAUUGUUAUCGUCUGGAAAUUUUUGCGGUUUGGGUUGGGUGCGCGGCGUAUCAGCUUGUUGGUGAGGUAAUGGCAGACCAAGGCGACGAAGGAUAGCCGGCCUGGGAGGGCGACCGGCCACAAGGGGACUGAGAGACGGACCAGACUCCAACGGGAGGCAGCAGGGGGGAAUAUUGCACAAUGGGAGAAAGCCUGAUGCAGCGACGCCGGGGGAGGGAUGACGGCCUUCGGGUUGUAAACAGCUGUCAGCAGGGAAGAAGCGAAAGUGACGGUACCUGCAGAAGAAGCACCGGCUAACUACGUG